Molecule: ribosomal RNA, 432 nt
Filed under: uncultured bacterium
Lineage: Bacteria
Description: partial 16S ribosomal RNA
Rfam family: Bacterial small subunit ribosomal RNA
Source: RNAcentral
AAUGAACGCUGGCGGCAUGCCUAACACAUGCAAGUCGAACGAAGGCUUCGGCCUUAGUGGCGCACGGGUGCGUAACGCGUGGGAAUCUGCCCCUUGGUUCGGAAUAACAGUUAGAAAUGACUGCUAAUACCGGAUGAUGACGUAAGUCCAAAGAUUUAUCGCCGAGGGAUGAGCCCGCGUAGGAUUAGCUAGUUGGUGUGGUAAGAGCGCACCAAGGCGACGAUCCUUAGCUGGUCUGAGAGGAUGAUCAGCCACACUGGGACUGAGACACGGCUCAGACUCCUACGGGAGGCAGCAGUGGGGAAUAUUGGACAAUGGGCGAAAGCCUGAUCCAGCAAUGCCGCGUGAGUGAUGAAGGCCUUAGGGUUGUAAAGCUCUUUUACCCGGGAUGAUAAUGACAGUACCGGGAGAAUAAGCUCCGGCUAACUCCGU